Molecule: ribosomal RNA, 253 nt
Filed under: uncultured bacterium
Lineage: Bacteria
Description: partial 16S ribosomal RNA
Rfam family: Bacterial small subunit ribosomal RNA
Source: RNAcentral
UACGUAGGUGGCGAGCGUUGUCCGGAUUUAUUGGGUUUAAAGGGUGCGUAGGCGGUUUUGUAAGUCAGUGCUGAAAUAUCCCGGCUUAACCGGGAGGGUGGCAUUGAUACUGCAGGACUUGAGUAAAGUUGAGGUGGGCGGAAUUGACGGUGUAGCGGUGAAAUGCUUAGAUAUCGUCAAGAACACCGAUUGCGAAGGCAGCUCACUAAGCUUUAACUGACGCUGAGGCACGAAAGUGUGGGGAUCAAACAGG